GGUGGUUGGUUGGGGUGUUGGUUGUUGUUUGAGAACUGUAUAGUGGAUGCGAGCAUCUGAAACUUUUUUGUUGUGUUCUUUCGAUCGUUGUUGGCUUACAGAACCCGAUUGAUGUUGGCCGGGAUCCUUUCGGGGGUUUCGGUUUUCAGUGUUGGUUGGGUUUGGUGUGGUCAAGUUGUGAAGAGCGCACGGUGGAUGCCUUGGCACCAGGAGCCGAUGAAGGACGUGGGAGACUGCGAAAUGCCUCGGGGGAGUGUCACCCGAGCUGUGAUCCGAGGAUGUNCGAAUGGGGGAAACCCGG
RNAcentral lists this unclassified non-coding RNA (301 nucleotides) under uncultured Actinomycetes bacterium. RNAcentral's name for it is "uncultured actinobacterium partial 16S-23S ribosomal RNA intergenic spacer". The stretch from base 169 to 301 matches the Rfam family "Bacterial large subunit ribosomal RNA", at positions 1 to 131 of the family's 2925-position model. Lineage: Bacteria; Bacillati; Actinomycetota; Actinomycetes. The record is from RNAcentral.